UCAGGACGAACGCUGGCGGCGUGCUUAACACAUGCAAGUCGAACGCUGAAGCACCAGCUUGCUGGUGUGGAUGAGUGGCGAACGGGUGAGUAAUACGUGAGUAACCUGCCCUUGACUCUGGGAUAAGCCCGGGAAACUGGGUCUAAUACUGGAUGCUACAUGUCACCGCAUGGUGGUGUGUGGAAAGGGUUUACUGGUCUUGGAUGGGCUCACGGCCUAUCAGCUUGUUGGUGAGGUAAUGGCUCACCAAGGCGACGACGGGUAGCCGGCCUGAGAGGGUGACCGGCCACACUGGGACUGAGACACGGCCCAGACUCCUACGGGAGGCAGCAGUGGGGAAUAUUGCACAAUGGGCGAAAGCCUGAUGCAGCGACGCCGCGUGAGGGAUGACGGCCUUCGGGUUGUAAACCUCUUCAGCAGGGAAGAAGCCACAAGUGACGGUACCUGCAGAAGAAGCGCCGGCUAACUACGUGCCAGCAGCCGCGGUAAUACGUAGGGCGCAAGCGUUGUCCGGAAUUAUUGGGCGUAAAGAGCUCGUAGGCGGUUUGUCGCGUCUGCUGUGAAAGCCCGGGGCUUAACCCCGGGUGUGCAGUGGGUACGGGCAGACUAGAGUGCAGUAGGGGAGACUGGAAUUCCUGGUGUAGCGGUGGAAUGCGCAGAUAUCAGGAGGAACACCGAUGGCGAAGGCAGGUCUCUGGGCUGUUACUGACGCUGAGGAGCGAAAGCAUGGGGAGCGAACAGGAUUAGAUACCCUGGUAGUCCAUGCCGUAAACGUUGGGCACUAGGUGUGGGGGACAUUCCACGUUUUCCGCGCCGUAGCUAACGCAUUAAGUGCCCCGCCUGGGGAGUACGGCCGCAAGGCUAAAACUCAAAGGAAUUGACGGGGGCCCGCACAAGCGGCGGAGCAUGCGGAUUAAUUCGAUGCAACGCGAAGAACCUUACCAAGGCUUGACAUAUACCGGAGCGUUCCAGAGAUGGUUCUUCCCCUUUGGGGUCGGUAUACAGGUGGUGCAUGGUUGUCGUCAGCUCGUGUCGUGAGAUGUUGGGUUAAGUCCCGCAACGAGCGCAACCCUCGUUCCAUGUUGCCAGCACGUGAUGGUGGGGACUCAUGGGAGACUGCCGGGGUCAACUCGGAGGAAGGUGGGGAUGACGUCAAAUCAUCAUGCCCCUUAUGUCUUGGGCUUCACGCAUGCUAC
RNAcentral lists this ribosomal RNA (1196 nucleotides) under Kocuria palustris. RNAcentral's name for it is "bacterial SSU rRNA". It matches the Rfam family "Bacterial small subunit ribosomal RNA", at positions 24 to 1228 of the family's 1533-position model. The record is from RNAcentral. Lineage: Bacteria; Bacillati; Actinomycetota; Actinomycetes; Micrococcales; Micrococcaceae.